This 259-nucleotide ribosomal RNA is filed under the name uncultured bacterium. RNAcentral describes it as "partial 16S ribosomal RNA". It matches the Rfam family "Bacterial small subunit ribosomal RNA", at positions 524 to 781 of the family's 1533-position model. The record is from RNAcentral.
UACGUAGGGUGCAAGCGUUUGUCCGGAAUUAUUGGGCGUAAAGAGCUCGUAGGCGGUCUGUCGCGUCUGCUGUGAAAACUCGGGGCUUAACCCCGGGCCUGCAGUGGGUACGGGCAGACUAGAGUGCGGUAGGGGAGACUGGAAUUCCUGGUGUAGCGGUGAAAUGCGCAGAUAUCAGGAGGAACACCGAUGGCGAAGGCAGGUCUCUGGGCCACUACUGACGCUGAGAAGCGAAAGCAUGGGGAGCGAACAGGAUUAG